UUUUUUUUUUUUUUUUUCCUUUCUCACGUCGCGAGGUCUUCGGAAACGGGAUGUGGCACAGCUCGGAGUCCACUUCAUCGUGAGAAAGGGAACGGCGUCCAAGUUUUAAAACACGUCUUGGUUGGAAGGGACCACACAGCCUUGAGUUCACGACCGGAAACCACACCUUCUGACACCGGGCAAGUGGCAUUUCUCAGCUGCCCCCGUAGGAGGGAGCACCACGGGGUGGUGGAAGGCACCGAGUCAUGUUGGGAAAACACGUAUAUUCAAACGCUGGAGCUGCCCUGUACUGUGGGACCUGGGGCCUCAGUCUUCUCAUCUUUUAAAGGGGUGUCAUGCUGCCCCAUCUUGGAACAUCGUGAGGGCUCAGGGGGUGAAGGCGCACAGCCCAGUGCCUGGCGGGUCCGUGCCCCCAGCCUAACUUGAAUUCUCACCGCCCUGGAAGGUGCAUCUUAGGCUGGGGUCCCUGGGAGCCGGUCCCGGGACGAGGAUCCCCACGGAAAGGGUUUGUUAGGCGGUGCUCCUGGGAAGCAGAGCAGUGGCAGGGGAGGAGGCUGCACAAGGACCUGGCAUGUGAUCUGGAGGUGACCGUCACGGCCAAGAGUGGCCCUGAUCGAUCGGGGGCUCGUGAGCUGAGACGGUAGAGCGCAGCCCUUUGGUCCAGGGGGGGAGGGAGACACCUUCCUGGGUGCUCCCAGGGCUCCUGCCGUCCCCCCCAACAGCUGGAGGACAACCCUCCCAGCAAGAGGCCAGGUGCACAGAAACAGCGAAGAGAUGCUGGCCACGUGGGCAGAGGAGGACAGCCACCGCCCAGGAGGUGGGGCCUGUGGCUCCCAGCCACAGGUAGGCUGUGAACAGGCCCAGACCCCCAGCCAGGGAAGGCGAUGGUUGGGUCAACUGGGAGCUUGCGCAGAGCAGAGGUGUGUGCCCUGGCCGCGGAGUUAGACCUGCCUCGGGCCCGGGUCCCGCUCUUUGCGCUAUGAAGCUGCAGCAUCUCACUCGGCGGACGCCUCUGAGGACCAGUGGCUGCUCUGGGCUUGAACACUGAGGGAGGGUCAAAACCCCCAGCUCCGUGGGACAUGACUCCAUAAACACAACACCUCCUAGAAGACUGCAUAGCGGAGGCCAAGUCGUAAAACUUCGCAAGGGGGAAACAGCAGUGGCUUUGAAAGCCUUUCCUUCGCCUCGAGGAAAACCAGAAGGAAGAGCCCGGAGACGGGAGACGCGGUGGUCUGUGUGUUUCAUUUCCUUUUCAUGUCCUUUCUGCCCAAAGACGGUCCGCAUGAAAGCCGGGGCCUCGGGCCACGCCCGUCCCCCCUGGAAACAAGCUCCCCCCUUCUGGAACCAGGGUGUGCUGUCUCAGGGCCACCCCAGAGCCCGUCUCCUUCUGCUAAGGCCAGGGUCAGGGUCGGGGGCUGGGGGCUGGGGGCUGGGGGCUGGCUCAGACGCCACGGGGAGCAGUGCAAUACUGUGGGGGCGGGGGGGGGG
Molecule: long non-coding RNA, 1488 nt
Filed under: Sus scrofa (pig)
Lineage: Eukaryota; Metazoa; Chordata; Mammalia; Artiodactyla; Suidae
Description: lncRNA (ENSSSCG00065003733.1)
Source: RNAcentral